AACGAACGCUGGCGGCGCGCCUAAUACAUGCAAGUCGAGCGAGAAGACGUAGCAAUACGUUUGUAAAGCGGCGAACGGGUGAGGAAUACAUGGGUAACCUACCCUCGAGUGGGGAAGUAACUAGCCGAAAGGUUAGCUAAUACCGCGUACGCUCCUUGGACUUCGGUUCAGGGAGGGAAAGCGAUACCGUGGGUAUCGCGCUCUUGGAUGGGCUCAUGUCCUAUCAGCUUGUUGGUGAGGUGAUGGCCUACCAAGGCGACGACGGGUAGCCGGCCUGAGAGGGCGACCGGCCACACUGGGACUGAGACACGGCCC
RNAcentral lists this ribosomal RNA (315 nucleotides) under uncultured bacterium. Its description in RNAcentral is "bacterial SSU rRNA". It matches the Rfam family "Bacterial small subunit ribosomal RNA", at positions 29 to 332 of the family's 1533-position model. The record is from RNAcentral.